GGGAGUCGUACGCUCUCGGGAAGAGGGCGUGGCGGACGGCUGAGUAACACGUGGCUAACCUGCCCUUGGGAUCUGGAUAACCCCGGGAAACUGGGGCUAAUCCGGAGCGGGCAAGGGAAUCUGGAAUGAUCUCUUGCCUAAAAGCCUCUCGGCUGAUCCCGUCGAGAGGCGCCCAAGGAUGGGGCUGCGGCCCAUCAGGCUGUUGGGGGAGUAAAGGUCCCCCAAACCGAUAACGGGUAGGGGCCGUGGGAGCGGGAGCCCCCAGUUGGGCACUGAGACAAGGGCCCAGGCCCUACGGGGCGCACCAGGCGCGGAACGUCCCCAAUGCGGGAAACCGUGAGGGCGUUACCCCUAGUGCCCUCGCAAGAGGGCUUUUCUCCACUCCAGAAAGGUGGAGGAAUAAGCGGGGGGCAAGACUGGUGUCAGCCGCCGCGGUAAUACCAGCCCCGCGAGUGAUCGGGACGUUUAUUGGGCUUAAAGCGCCCGUAGCCGGCCUGUAAAGUCACCGUUUAAAGACCCGGGCUCAACCCGGGGAACGGCGGUGAUACUUACAGGCUAGGGGGCGGGAGAGGUCGGAGGUACUCCCGGAGUAGGGGCGAAAUCCUCAGAUCCCGGGAGGACCACCAGUGGCGAAAGCGUCCGGCUAGAACGCGCCCGACGGUGAGGGGCGAAAGCCGGGGUAGCAAAUAGGAUUAGAUACCCUAGUAGUCCCGGCUGUAAACGAUGCAGGCUAGGUGUCGCGUAGGCUUUGUGCCUGCGCGGUGCCGCAGGAAAACUGGUAAG
Molecule: ribosomal RNA, 783 nt
Filed under: uncultured archaeon
Lineage: Archaea
Description: bacterial SSU rRNA
Rfam family: Archaeal small subunit ribosomal RNA
Source: RNAcentral